Molecule: ribosomal RNA, 171 nt
Filed under: uncultured bacterium
Lineage: Bacteria
Description: partial 16S ribosomal RNA
Rfam family: Bacterial small subunit ribosomal RNA
Source: RNAcentral
GGCGGGGCGGGGGCACGGGGGGCCUACGGGAGGCAGCAGUAGGGAAUCUUCCGCAAUGGACGAAAGUCUGACGGAGCAACGCCGCGUGAACGAUGAAGGCCUUCGGGUCGUAAAGUUCUGUUGUUAGGGAAGAACAAGUACCAGAGUAACUGCUGGUACCUUGACGGUACC